UAGGGAAUAUUGGUCAAUGGACGCAAGUCUGAACCAGCCAUGCCGCGUGCAGGAUGACGGUCCUAUGGAUUGUAAACUGCUUUUUUACGGGAAGAAACCCCUGGAUGCGUCCGGGGCUGACGGUACCGUACGAAUAAGGAUCGGCUAACUUCGUGCCAGCAGCCGCGGUAAGACGAAGGAUCCAAGCGUUGUCCGGAUUUACUGGGUUUAAAGGGUGCGUAGGCGGAAAUUUAAGUCAGUGGUGAAAGCCUCCCGCUUAACGGGAGAACUGCCAUUGAAACUGGACUUCUUGAAUAUGGUUGAGGUAGAUGGAAUAUAACAUGUAGCGGUGAAAUGCUUAGAUAUGUUAUAGAACACCGAUUGCGAAGGCAGUCUGCUAAGCCAUAAUUGACGCUGAGGCACGAAAGCAUGGGGAGCAAACAGG
Molecule: ribosomal RNA, 424 nt
Filed under: uncultured bacterium
Lineage: Bacteria
Description: bacterial SSU rRNA
Rfam family: Bacterial small subunit ribosomal RNA
Source: RNAcentral